AGAGGAGCUGGGAGGAGCCAGCAGGGCUAAUGAAUGCAGCCAUCUUUGAAGAGCUUCCCCCUCAGUGAGAUUAAGCAUCUUUUUCAUUUUACAUAAGCAGUCUACCAACGUUGGCAGAUCCAUCCCAUGCUAAUCUGAGUGUGCUUCCAUGUCCCUACUGGUUCUUAACCCUCCCAGAUGCCAUCCUGUAUUCUUAACCCUGACCUUUUGGGUAUAUUUUGUUUCUUUGGGUAGACCCAACAAUUUUGCUCUUUGUGUUUGGCGUAUAAUUUAUAGUGCCUGUCAAGAUUCACAGACCGUAAUUAUUCAAGAAGUAUAUUUCCACUGUUCGGCAGAAAUGCCCACAUAACUAGUGUCAUGCCUUUGUCGUGCAGUUUAGAUUACAAAGAUGGUAUUCUGACAAAUAGAGGAUCUGGGCACCAUGUAAUUAUGCAUUUGGUGGAGGGUCAGACACAUUCUUUAUGUUUGUAGAUUUCAGUGUUUUUUCUUUUUCUUUUUUUUUUUUUACAAAGAUUCUUACAUUAAGAGGCUAACAUUCUAUUGUACACCCUUGAAGUGCUUUUUUUCACAUGUCACAUAUUCACUAUUAGGACUUAGGACUCAGAAGGGCAAAAAGCACAUUUGCUUUUGUUCCUCCUCAAUGUUCAGUUCCGUUCCGUGUGUGCGUGCUAGCGUGCUUCUCUUUGAUAGGCACCUCUGUGGAGAGGCAGCAAGACUGAGAGCACUGGGGUCAGGAACCCUGGGCCCUUGUCCUGUCCACUGGCUCAGGGACUUUGAGCUAAUUCUGCAGUCAAGGCCUCAGCUACCACGUCUACAAAGUGACUAGUAGAUCACCGUGUUUCCUCCGCCUCUAACAUUUCACAGGUUCUUUCCCCCGUGUUUGUAAAUUACAGCACUCAUUAUAACCUAGUGAGAGCAUAUGUGUGGAAGAACUCAGGUUUUUUGAAGCUAGAUGCAUGAUUAAAUGAAGAUAUUGAUACUUGAGGCUUAAUUACAAUCAGUUAAAGCAAGGCUUAAGGUGUAGUUCUGAGAGUGUCUUUCUGGUAGUUACAGACGCAUUUGUGUGUGUGUUCAGUUGCUCAGUCAUGUCUGACUCUUUGCGACCCAUGGACUGUCACUAGACUCCUCUGUCUGUUUGAAUUAAGAAACCUCACACUGAAUCAGCCUUCGAAGAACUUGAGAAUGAGUCAGUGGCCAGAACCGUGUUCUCUGCCGUGUCCGGGGUCGCCUGCCUGCUUGAGUUUGUGUGGAGCAAACUGUAAACUGCAGUGUCUUCUGCGGGGAGCGGAACAUCCGCUAGGACUGCUGGGGCUGCGGGCCAGGGAAGGCCUUGGUUGUAGAGAGCGGGCAUGUUGGCUCCACCCUGCUCUGAUGAUGAGUUCCUGUCCUGUUUGGGCCCAGGGUUGAUUAGUCAGGGUGAGGAAGAUUGCAAAACUUGAUGUAACUGAGAAGGAGACCUGGGAGGGGAUUUUGAA
Molecule: long non-coding RNA, 1475 nt
Organism: Bubalus bubalis (water buffalo)
Lineage: Eukaryota; Metazoa; Chordata; Mammalia; Artiodactyla; Bovidae
Exons: 2
Source: RefSeq, a predicted model, not a curated record